Molecule: ribosomal RNA, 477 nt
Filed under: uncultured bacterium
Lineage: Bacteria
Description: bacterial SSU rRNA
Rfam family: Bacterial small subunit ribosomal RNA
Source: RNAcentral
CACUGUCACUCCUACGGGGAGGCAGCAGUGGGGGAAUAUUGCACAAUGGGCGCAAGCCUGAUGCAGCCAUGCCGCGUGUAUGAAGAAGGCCUUCGGGUUGUAAAGUACUUUCAGCAGUGAGGAAGGCGGGUGUGUUAAUAGCACAUUCGUUUGACGUUAGCUGCAGAAGAAGCACCGGCUAACUCCGUGCCAGCAGCCGCGGUAAUACGGAGGGUGCGAGCGUUAAUCGGAAUUACUGGGCGUAAAGCGCAUGCAGGUGGUUUGUUAAGUCAGAUGUGAAAGCCCCGGGGCUCAACCUCGGAAUUGCAUUUGAAACUGGCAGACUAGAGUACUGUAGAGGGGGGUAGGAAUUUCAGGUGUAGCAGUGAAAUGCGUAGAGAUCUGAAGGAAUACCGGUGGCGAAGGCGGCCCCCUGGACAGAUACUGACACUCAGAUGCGAAAGCGUGGGGAGCAAACAGGAUUAGAUACCCUGGUAG